GCUUAGGCAUAGCUCAGUCGGUAGAGCAUGAGACUCUGAAUCCCGGGGUUGUGUGUUCAAGCCCCAUGUUGGGCA
Molecule: non-coding RNA, 75 nt
Organism: Podarcis lilfordi (Lilford's wall lizard)
Lineage: Eukaryota; Metazoa; Chordata; Lepidosauria; Squamata; Lacertidae
Source: the annotation of a GenBank genome assembly